This is a long non-coding RNA of Symphalangus syndactylus (siamang), 692 nucleotides long. RefSeq lists it as uncharacterized. The record is from RefSeq and is a predicted model, not a curated record. Lineage: Eukaryota; Metazoa; Chordata; Mammalia; Primates; Hylobatidae.
AUCAAUUUCACUGAAGCAAAAUGUCCUCAAGAGCUUGCUGUGUCCUCUCUAUCAAUAUGCUCAAACAUAACUGAAAGUGUAGAGAAGCCCAAGAGUGGUCAAAGAUGUUCUGACCCGAGAAAAUUCUGGUCCCUGGCCACCUAUGAGCUCAGUUUUUCAAGUCUCCUAAUAGGAACCUUAUGGCUGGGGACAGCUGGGUGUCAGUGCGUCCUCUUCAAGCAGCUGUUUGCGGUAACCUAUGGUCAUAAGAACCAGGCUCUGGGGGAUACUGGUCUGAUAGAUUUAUUAGGCAGAGGUUUUUUUUUUUGCCUGCUGUUUAUGUCAUGAACCAGGAGCGGCAAAAACGUUUAAUCUUGCAUGCUAACUGACUGAUAAUCACUGAUGGUAGCUCUAUGCUAAGGAUUCUGAGACCACCAUGGGACUGGAUGGAACAGCAUGCUGUGAUCUGCUAAUGAUGUCUGCUAUGGACACCACAAGAUGAAAUGGUCUUCUAGGUGCCAUCUCUUUGCUACUCUAGCAACGACAAGUGGGAGAAAAUGAUUGGUCCCUGAGAAAUCUAGGCCAAGGGACAAGAUACAGCCAUGGGGCCCUGACCCCCUACCAUUCCUGGCCUGUAAGUCAGAACACAGAUCAACUCUCUAAAAGAGGGGGCAAGUCUUUCCACUGCCAAAGAUAUUGCUAGUCAAUCUUAA